RNAcentral lists this small RNA (103 nucleotides) under Salmonella enterica. RNAcentral's name for it is "partial RtT sRNA". It matches the Rfam family "RtT RNA", at positions 1 to 102 of the family's 130-position model. Rfam says of the family: This family represents a bacterial cis-regulatory element known as RtT RNA. The exact function of RtT is unknown although it is thought that it may be involved in changing the cellular response in relation to amino acid starvation. Lineage: Bacteria; Pseudomonadati; Pseudomonadota; Gammaproteobacteria; Enterobacterales; Enterobacteriaceae. The record is from RNAcentral.
UAUCUCUCCGUACGGGGAAGGAUGAGAAGCUUCGACUAAGGUUCGAUUCGAGCGCAGCGAGAAAACGUUGCCGCAGGCAACGACCCGAAGGGUGAGGAGCGGA